Molecule: ribosomal RNA, 253 nt
Filed under: uncultured bacterium
Lineage: Bacteria
Description: partial 16S ribosomal RNA
Rfam family: Bacterial small subunit ribosomal RNA
Source: RNAcentral
UACGGGGGGUGCAAGCGUUAUUCGGAAUUAUUGGGCGUAAAGGGCGCGUAGGCGGUCCUUUAAGUCAGAUGUGAAAUCCCGGGGCUUAACCCCGGAAGUGCAUUUGAAACUAAAGGACUUGAGUAUGGGAGAGGGAAGUGGAAUUCCUGGUGUAGAGGUGAAAUUCGUAGAUAUCAGGAGGAACUCCAGUGGCGAAGGCGACUUCCUGGACCAAUACUGACGCUAAGGCGCGAAGGCGUGGGGAGCAAACAGG